Molecule: long non-coding RNA, 378 nt
Organism: Gallus gallus (chicken)
Lineage: Eukaryota; Metazoa; Chordata; Aves; Galliformes; Phasianidae
Exons: 3
Source: RefSeq, a predicted model, not a curated record
GCUCCACGUCAGGCGUCGGAGAUGGAGCAGGGCGCAGUUCUCCAUCAGGGCCCGAGUCUGUGCAGGUGUCUUCUCCUGCCACCAAGCUGCUCACCCUGGAGGAGGCACAGGCACAGAGGGGAGGCCACAGCACCUCUCCCGCACUGACACACAUCAUGGACAUGGAAGUGGAAGAAGGCCCUGCAGCUGCGCGGGGGAAAUUCCACGCAAUCAUUGACUUUCCAUCUGAAAGACCAACUCCACCCAGCAGGGUGAAGGAAUCCCCAGCAUGCAGUUGGUGUUCCUGUUUCAGGCCGAGAAAACCAUCCUCUGUGGCCAAACGCCAACUGCAGCGCGAUGCCAGGGAGCCCUCGGAAACAGAGGUGGUGGUCCUGGCAG